Molecule: ribosomal RNA, 464 nt
Filed under: uncultured bacterium
Lineage: Bacteria
Description: bacterial SSU rRNA
Rfam family: Bacterial small subunit ribosomal RNA
Source: RNAcentral
UGCCAGACUCCUACGGGAGGCAGCAGUGGGGAAUAUUGCACAAUGGGGGAAACCCUGAUGCAGCGACGCCGCGUGAGUGAAGAAGUAAUUCGUUACGUAAAGCUCUCUCAGCAGGGAAGAAAUACUGACCUUACGGUCAGCAGACGGUACCUGAUUAAGAAGCCCCGGCUAACUACGUGCCAGCAGCCGCGGUAAUACGUAGGGGGCAAGCGUUAUCCGGAUUUACUGGGUGUAAAGGGAGCGUAGACGGCAGCGCAAGUCUGGAGUGAAAGGCGGGGGCCCAACCCCCGGACUGCUCUGGAAACUGUGUAACUUGAGUGCAGGAGAGGUAAGCGGAAUUCCUAGUGUAGCGGUGAAAUGCGUAGAUAUUAGGAGGAACACCAGUGGCGAAGGCGGCUUACUGGACUGUAACUGACGUUGAGGCUCGAAAGCGUGGGGAGCAAACAGGAUUAGAUACCCUGGUA